GACGAACGCUGGCGGCGUGCUUAACACAUGCAAGUCGAACGGAAAGGCCCUGCUUUUGUGGGGUGCUCGAGUGGCGAACGGGUGAGUAACACGUGAGUAACCUGCCCUUGACUUUGGGAUAACUUCAGGAAACUGGGGCUAAUACCGGAUAGGAGCUCCUGCUGCAUGGUGGGGGUUGGAAAGUUUCGGCGGUUGGGGAUGGACUCGCGGCUUAUCAGCUUGUUGGUGGGGUAGUGGCUUACCAAGGCUUUGACGGGUAGCCGGCCUGAGAGGGUGACCGGCCACAUUGGGACUGAGAUACGGCCCAGACUCCUACGGGGGGCAGCAGCGGGGAAUAUUGCACAAUGGGCGGAAGCCUGAUGCAGCAACGCCGCGUGCGGGAUGACGGCCUUCGGGUUGUAAACCGCUUUCGCCUGUGACGAAGCGUGAGUGACGGUAAUGGGUAAAGAAGCACCGGCUAACUACGUG
This 468-nucleotide ribosomal RNA is filed under the name uncultured bacterium. Its description in RNAcentral is "partial 16S ribosomal RNA". It matches the Rfam family "Bacterial small subunit ribosomal RNA", at positions 28 to 507 of the family's 1533-position model. The record is from RNAcentral.